This 531-nucleotide ribosomal RNA is filed under the name uncultured bacterium. Its description in RNAcentral is "bacterial SSU rRNA". It matches the Rfam family "Bacterial small subunit ribosomal RNA", at positions 8 to 526 of the family's 1533-position model. The record is from RNAcentral.
AGAGUUUGAUCAUGGCUCAGGACGAACGCUGGCGGCGUGCUUAACACAUGCAAGUCGAACGCGAAAGGCCCUUCGGGGCCGAGUAGAGUGGCGAACGGGUGAGUAACACGUGGGCAACCUGCCCCAAGGAGCGGGACAACCCGAGGAAACUCGGGCUAAUACCGCAUGAUUCGCCGGCACAUAAGUGCCGGCGGGAAAUGGUAGCUUCGGCCUCCGCCUUGGGAUGGGCCCGCGGCGCAUUAGCUUGUUGGUGGGGUAACGGCUCACCAAGGCGACGAUGCGUAGCUGGUCUGAGAGGACGAUCAGCCACACUGGGACUGAGACACGGCCCAGACUCCUACGGGAGGCAGCAGUGGGGAAUCUUGCGCAAUGGGCGGAAGCCUGACGCAGCAACGCCGCGUGUGGGAAGACGGCCUUCGGGUUGUAAACCACUUUCAGGGGGGACGAAGCUUCCAGGGUUAAUAGCCCAUGGGGUGACGGUACCCCCAGAAGAAGCCCCGGCUAACUACGUGCCAGCCGCCGCGGUAAUAC